UCCGGCCGUGCCGGGAGCCCCGCGUCCCUCCAGCCUGCUCGGGCUGCGGGGAGACGUCCCCCCCGGGCCUGUCAGCCCAUCCCCUGUCCCAAGUGCCUCUCCAGCUCUCCUGGAGUCUCUUCAGGCGCUGGAAGGGGUUUUAAAGUCUCCGCGGAGCCUUCUCCAGGUGAGCACCCCCAGCUCUCUCGGGCUGUCCCCACAGCAGAGCUGCUCCAUCGUCUUGCUGCCUCCUCUGGACUCGCCCUGGCAGAUCCGUGUCCUUCCUGUGCUGAGGAGUCCAGACCCGGGCACGUCUCCAGGUUCUCCCUAAGGACCAGCUGCCCCUUCGCCUGCUGGUAUUGAAGUAACAUCACAUUUACUGCUUUGUCUUUUCCUGCCUCCUUAUCGCUUCCAGCUGUGGAGUGUCCCCUUAUCUGAGCAGACACUUCAGGAAGCUGCAGUGCUAUUUCUGAUCAGCAAUAUUUCCUGAAAUGUUCUGCUAUCUCAGACUGAGGAGACCAGCCUGACACUGCUCAAAAACAACCAUUGACCAUCAAAUGUCAGAGCUCCCAAGGCUGCAGCCUGUGGAGCCAGAGCACUUUUCCUAAAGACCUUUGCAGCACAACUUGGCAUCAAAAGCCACAAAGUUACUCAAGGCCUGCAACAUCUACUUUAUAAAUAUAUAUUCAGAAUAAAAACAAAAUGUAUUUAUUUAUAAAUAAAUAUUCUGAAUUUCCCAUCACAA
Lonchura striata (white-rumped munia) is the source of this 724-nucleotide long non-coding RNA. RefSeq lists it as uncharacterized. The record is from RefSeq and is a predicted model, not a curated record. Lineage: Eukaryota; Metazoa; Chordata; Aves; Passeriformes; Estrildidae.